CAGUCGCCGCGGUAAUACGUAGGUGGCAAGCGUUGUCCGGAAUUAUUGGGCGUAAAGGGCUCGCAGGCGGUUUCUUAAGUCUGAUGUGAAAGCCCCCGGCUCAACCGGGGAGGGUCAUUGGAAACUGGGAAACUUGAGUGCAGAAGAGGAGAGUGGAAUUCCACGUGUAGCAGUGAAAUGCGUAGAGAUGUGGAGGAACACCAGUGGCGAAGGCGACUCUCUGGUCUGUAACUGACGCUGAGGAGCGAAAGCGUGGGGAGCGAACAGGAUUAGAUACCCCUGUAGUCCCUGUCUCUUAUAC
Molecule: ribosomal RNA, 301 nt
Filed under: uncultured bacterium
Lineage: Bacteria
Description: partial 16S ribosomal RNA
Rfam family: Bacterial small subunit ribosomal RNA
Source: RNAcentral